AGCAGCCGCGGUAAUUCCAGCUCCAAUAGCGUAUAUUAAAGUUGUUGCAGUUAAAAAGCUCGUAGUUGAAUUUCGGGAUCAGUACGCCGGUCGUGCCUUCGGUAUGUACUGGUGUCACUGAUUCCUCCCUUCUGAAGAACCGUUAUGCCAUUAAUUUGGUGUGACGGGGAAUCAGGACUGUUACUUUGAAAAAAUUAGAGUGUUUAAAGCAGGCUCGCGCUUGAAUACAUUAGCAUGGAAUAAUGAAAUAGGACGUUUGAUCUUAUUUUGUUGGUUUCUAGGAUCGACGUAAUGAUUAAUAGGGAUAGUUGGGGGCAUUAGUAUUCAAUUGUCAGAGGUGAAAUUCUUGGAUUUAUUGAAGACUAACUACUGCGAAAGCAUUUGCCAAGGAUGUUUUCAUUAAUCAAGAACGAAAGUUAGGGGAUCGAAGACGAUCAGAUACCGUCGUAGUCUUAACCAUAAACUAUGCCGACUAGGGAUCGGAUGAUGUUAUUUUUAAUGA
RNAcentral lists this ribosomal RNA (502 nucleotides) under uncultured Glomus. RNAcentral describes it as "SSU rRNA". It matches the Rfam family "Eukaryotic small subunit ribosomal RNA", at positions 569 to 1074 of the family's 1831-position model. Lineage: Eukaryota; Fungi; Glomeromycota; Glomeromycetes; Glomerales; Glomeraceae. The record is from RNAcentral.